This 405-nucleotide ribosomal RNA is filed under the name uncultured bacterium. RNAcentral describes it as "partial 16S ribosomal RNA". It matches the Rfam family "Bacterial small subunit ribosomal RNA", at positions 28 to 526 of the family's 1533-position model. The record is from RNAcentral.
GAUGAACGCUGGCGGCGUGCCUAAUACAUGCAAGUCGAGCGAAGCGGGGAAGGGUGAGUAACACGUGGAUAACCUCCUAUACGACUAGGAUAUCUUCGGGAAACCGGUUAUAAACCGGAUCCUUAUAGCUGGCUCCGCGCUGCAUUAGCUAGUUGUUAAGGUAACGGCUUACCAAGGCAACGAUGCAUACCCGACCUGAGAGGGGGCACGGCCACACUGGAAGUGAGCCACGGUCCAGCGUCCUGCGGGAUGCAGCAGUAGGGAAUCGUCCGCAAUGGGCGAAAGCCGAACGGAGCAACGCCGCGUGAUUGAUGAAGGUCUUCGGAUCGUAAAACUCUGUUAUGAUGGAAGCGGUACCUAAUCAGAAAGCCACGGCUAACUACGUGCCAGCCGCCGCGGUAAUAC